UACGAAGGGGGGCUAGCGUUGCUCGGAAUUACUGGGCGUAAGGCGCACGUAGGCGGCUUGUUAAGUCAGGGGUGAAAUCCUGGAGCUCAACUCCAGAACUGCCUUUGAUACUGGCGAGCUUGAGUUCGGGAGAGGUGAGUGGAACUGCGAGUGUAGAGGUGAAAUUCGUAGAUAUUCGCAAGAACACCAGUGGCGAAGGCGGCUCACUGGCCCGAUACUGACGCUGAGGUGCGAAAGCGUGGGGAGCAAACAGG
Molecule: ribosomal RNA, 254 nt
Filed under: uncultured bacterium
Lineage: Bacteria
Description: partial 16S ribosomal RNA
Rfam family: Bacterial small subunit ribosomal RNA
Source: RNAcentral